AUGGCCGGGAAGAAGCGCAAGUCCACCGAGAAGCAGCCCAAGGGCAGCCGCCUGCCGCUCGGCGCCGACGCCGACGCGGUGGCCGACGCCGGCAAGCGCCGCCGCUCUGGCGCCGCCAAGCGCCACCAGGCCGAGGAGGAGGAGUCCGUGCCCUCCUCCAUCAGCGCCAAGAUCCUCCGCGAGGCCCUCAGGCAGCAGCAGGAGGAGGGCCUCGCCGACUCCCGCCACGCCGCCGCCGCCGCCACACCUGCCGCCCCAGCUGUUUCUGCAGCCCCGUCCACGUCCUUCCCCGUCCCUGCUGCCGACGGCGGCGACGAUGAUGACGAGGACGUCGACGAGUUCGACGGCUUCGACGCCCUGAGCGAGUACGACGGCGGCGUGCCGGAGAUCGACGAGGAGGACGAGAAGGCCCUUGCCGCAUUCAUGUCCAAGGACACCUCCUCCAAGCAAUCGCUUGGUGAUAUCAUCCUCCAGAAGAUCAGAGAGAAGGACGCCACGGUCUCAACAGAAGCACGGCCUGCUGUCAAGUUGGACAGCCGAAUCAUUGAACUCUAUAAAGAGGUUGGCCAGCUCUUGAGCCGAUACACCAGUGGCAAAAUCCCCAAAGCAUUCAAGCGUAUCCCGUCGUUGGAAUGCUGGGCAGAUGUGCUGCAGUUAACUGAGCCUCAGAACUGGUCGCCUAACGCAGUGUACCAAGCAACACGGCUCUUCUCUUCAAACAUGAACGCGAAGAACGCCGUGCGGUUCUACGAAGCUAUUCUGCUGCCGCGCCUUCGCCAUGACAUAAAAACUAACAAGAGGCUCCAUUUUGCACUUUAUCAGUCUAUGAAAAAAUCCCUCUACAAGCCUGCUGCCUUUUUCAAGGGAAUUCUGCUGCCACUCUGUCAGGAAGGAAAUUGCACUCUGCGUGAAGCAGUAAUUAUUGGUAGUAUUAUCCAGAAAGUCACCAUUCCUCCACUCCAUGCGAGCGCGGCAUUAAUGAAACUAGCAGAUCUGGAGUACUGUGGCACCACUAGUUACUUUAUCAAGCUGUUUCUGGAUAAGAAAUAUGCUCUGCCGUACCGUGUACUCGAUGCUGUUUUUGCCCAUUUCAUGCGGUUUCUUGAUGAUGAGAGAAGCAUGCCUGUUAUAUGGCACCAGUCACUGCUCGCCUUUGUGGAAAGAUACAAGAAUGAGUUGGAGAAGAAAGACAAGGAACAGCUCUCACGCUUGUUAGAUAACCAGAAGCAUUAUUUGGUAACUCCAGAAAUCCGCAGGGAACUCCGGAGUAGUGCCAACAGGGGCGAAAAGCCGACCGAUAUGUCGAUAUGUUCACCUGUUUCCGUGAUCACCAAGCCGAUCGAAGAGGACAGGUGGAAUGUUCCGGAAGUGCCUAUGGAGGAAGAUUAG
RNAcentral lists this ribosomal RNA (1389 nucleotides) under Triticum aestivum (bread wheat). RNAcentral's name for it is "partial small subunit ribosomal RNA". Lineage: Eukaryota; Viridiplantae; Streptophyta; Magnoliopsida; Poales; Poaceae. The record is from RNAcentral.